RNA transcript from Tripterygium wilfordii, 2362 nucleotides. It is a transcript of the gene named 3-dehydrosphinganine reductase TSC10A-like, with no coding region annotated. The transcript is spliced from 5 exons. Lineage: Eukaryota; Viridiplantae; Streptophyta; Magnoliopsida; Celastrales; Celastraceae. The record is from RefSeq and is a predicted model, not a curated record.
UUAUCAUUCUAAUAGUGAAAAAUAUUCACUGGUUGCUUAGCACCACAUCAUUUAGCUGACAUUGUGAGCAUGUUCUAUUGAAUACCCGACAUGUGGGGACUUUAAUCCAAGUCACCCAUCUUCAUCAACUGUUUAUACUAAAUUUUCCAUUGCUUUUUUUUUCCCAAUUUUUUCAAGAGACCCACUGAGAGUGCGGAGUUAAACUUCAAGAAGCUCGAAGGGAAUGAAGAAUAAUUGGGAUAGUGAUGCUCGGUGAACUCCAUGACCAGCAAUAGAUUGCCAGAAGAGAAUCGGAUCUUGACUGUCGCCAGCAAGUCGGAUUCUUUUGUACUUAUGUUCGCUGGCGGCAACUGUUUAGAAGUAGGUCAAUACCAGUAGUUGUCGGAGGAAACAACGGUGGGUGGACUAAGUUUUCAGCUCAGAUUACAGGGCAAUGACCUAGUCGACGGCCUUCUAGUAUUGUUUGUAGAAGUGGUACAAGAGACAGAGGAGGAGAUGGCGGUUUCACGACGCUUUUUGUGAUGGAGCUUUUGUUUAAAGACACCACGUGUCAAAUAUUCAGUAGAACAUGCACACCACAUCAUGUGAAUGACGUAGUGCUGAACAACCACCGGAUAUUUUCUCUAUUCUAAGGGCCUUUUGGGGCAAAGGCCGUUUUAUUGUGUUUGGGCUCCCUUUAAAUAGUUAAAAUGGGCCGAGGUUGGACUACGUAACGUCACUACAAUUCCUAUCUGUUUGGGCUUAGCUUAAGACUGAUUAAUAAGCCCAUUGUCAUGUCGCGAUUGGCUCGUAUUUCAUAGUUCACAAUCACAUACAAGACAAGAUCGUCCGGCACUCUGGCUUGCUUGCUUGCUAUUCGAUGAUAAUGUCCGUUGUUUUGCUCCAUAACAUUUCACUCCGGAGACUCGGGGCUUGUGAUCCAAGCCAGUAGAAGAAGAAGCUCCAUCAAUGGCCGACCAGCACCUCUACUACAUAUUCCUUAUACUCCUCUUUCCUCUAUCUCUGCUCUUAUUUCUUUACGUCGUCGUACGACCCCGUCCGGUUAAAAUCCCAAUCAAGGACCGUCACGUGUUCAUAACCGGCGGGUCUAGCGGCAUCGGCCUCUCCCUGGCCCACCUGGCCGCAUCGGAGGGGGCACGUGUCUCCAUUCUGGCCAGGUCCCGAAAUAAGUUAGAGGAAGCGAGGGAGGGGGUCCGUCUUGCCACCGGCAAAGAGGUCGCGAUUUUCGCUGCCGAUGUGAGGGACUUCGAAGCGGUGAAGAAGGCGGUGGAAGAGGCAGGACCUGUUGAUGUGUUGAUUGUGAAUCAGGGGGUUUUCGUGCCUCAGGAACUCGAGAAACAGGAAUUGGAUGAGGUGCGGUUCAUGCUGGACGUCAAUCUGAUGGGGAGCUUUAACAUGAUCAAGGCUGCUUUACCUGCCAUGAAGGAGGCCAGAAAGGAACGUGGGCCCGCCUCAAUCGCUCUCAUGUCAUCACAGGCCGGUCAGGUUGGUAUCUAUGGAUACUCAGCUUACUCAGCUAGUAAGUUUGGGCUGCGUGGUUUAGCAGAAGCACUGCAGCAGGAAGUCAUUGCGGAUAAUAUUCAUGUUUCUCUUAUAUUCCCUCCGGAUACUGAUACUCCUGGUCUAGAGGAAGAAAACAAGAGAAGGCCACCACUCACUAGUAUAAUAGCUGCCUCCUCUGGUGCAAUGAAAGCUGAUGAUGUUGCCAAGAAAACCUUAAAUGGCAUAAAAUCUGCUUCUUUCAUUGUCCCCUGCAACUUUGAAGGAUUAUUGCUUUCUAUAGCAACUGCUGGUUUAUCCCCUCAGAGAUCAUUCUUGAUGGCAUAUAUUGAGGUGGUCGCUGCUGGUAUACUACGCAUUGCAGCUCUAUGUUUCCAAUGGAAUUGGUAUGGAAGUAUAGAGAAGUGGCAUGCACAAAGUAGGUUAUAACAAUCGUAUUAUAGAAACUCUAUAUUCCUGCGACCUGCUUCCUGCUUCCUGCUUGAUGGACAGGGUGUAAUUCAUGGUCAAUUUCCUGAUAGCAUCUGUUGUUUUUGGCAAUACUCUCAAGUCUUUUCUCCUCAUGCUGCUGCAAGGAGAGUGUUGGAGUUGAGUUCUUGAGCUGAUGUAGCAAAACUGGAGCGCUCUCUCACAGUUUUCAUGGCUUUGCAUCUAAACCAUUAAUAAAGAUGCAUCAAGAAGGAAAUUGACUGCACACCUGGAAGAAACUCUGGUUAGCUUCAUUUGUGUUUAAGCUUGUAUGCUCUCAGAGAUCAUCCAUCCAACAGCAGAUUUUUGUUCUUUCUUUUCUGCUUUGGCAGUCCCACCCAACGGAAGAACUUCUUACAACUUUUGUACGCGAUAAAGUUGCAUUUUCGUAAUC